This is a long non-coding RNA of Aedes aegypti (yellow fever mosquito), 1114 nucleotides long. RefSeq lists it as uncharacterized. NCBI's taxonomy places the organism in Eukaryota, Metazoa, Arthropoda, Insecta, Diptera, Culicidae. The record is from RefSeq and is a predicted model, not a curated record. The transcript is spliced from 2 exons.
CGGAGUGUAUCGUCGACCUGUAACCAAAUUGGCGGUUAUUGAAUUUGCAUCUUCUGGUAAAUCUGUUCCAAAACUAGGUUCUGGACAGGGUUUACGGGCCGGGGAACUGUUACCACCACUACCAACGGUCGGCGUACCUACUGCAUAAUCUACAUACGUUGUCAGCGCUGAUGAGACUGACAGUCCGAUUGAAAGGCAAUUGAUUUCGUAAUAGCCAUCGAAUGGUGUAUAACGUGGUCUUGAUCCUAUGUGCAAUAUGAUUGAUUUUGUGAAUUUCCCGAUUAUAAUUUGGUACAUAUAAGUCGUUGAACUGGUGAAAUAUCUUUAAGCUCGAUAGGUAAUUCAAUAAUCUUGAAUUCGUGAAAUAGUUGUUAGAAUGCCCUGUUUUUAUAUGUAGUUUGCCAAUAUAGGUUAUCUCCCCUCAAUUGUGCCAUUAAACCCGAAGUACUUGCGGAUACCACCAUAGAAUUGUUGAACUCCAAUAUACAACACAUAUUGUAUAGACCAUUCAUUCGUACGUUGCCUACCACUUUUCUCGGAGUCAGGGUUUGGAAACUAAAUAUGUAAGAUGAUCCAUAUUGUAUUCAAUAGUCAAAAGUUCGAUAAUAAUAAAAUCUCUUUUUAGUUUGAGCUGAUUCUCUAAAACGCGCUGCUUCAAAAAUUAGUAACCACUCUGUGUCCGAACAAUUACUAUUUUAAAGGCCCACCUGGUGCAAUUUUAGUUAAUUUUUCGAAAAAUUAAAAUUUCUUAGAAUUGUGAUACCUUUGGCGUUAAAAUAAUUAAUUUCCUUGGCUCAAGCGCAUCUACUAAAAAGAAAGAUCAAGCGGGAUUAAAUACCAAAAUAAAACCGUAUUUACUAGUAAUUUUAGACCACUCUUAUAGUUUUAUGUUGACGCAUUCAAUUUGAAGGUAUCAAAACAAAAUAAACAAAACAAACUAUCUGCAAAAAUCGCGAUAUAUGCGGCUGUUGUAUCAGAUCCAGAUUUCUCUAUUUAUCAAGAUUUUAGCUAUAAAUACAGCCAUUGCAUGAAUUGACCUUCAUUACAAAGUAAGGCAAAUCGUAUGGACGAGUCGAAAAAUGGUGAGAAGUCUAAAAUUAGUGCUUUUAUCUUA